This is a long non-coding RNA of Gallus gallus (chicken), 13478 nucleotides long. RefSeq lists it as uncharacterized. The record is from RefSeq and is marked validated. The transcript has 5 exons. Lineage: Eukaryota; Metazoa; Chordata; Aves; Galliformes; Phasianidae.
CCACUUCCUGCCCUCAUUCUGAACUUACUUUAACCGCUUGCUGCUGAUGUAUCCAAAAAUUCUGAGCUUUAGCACUUGUUACUACAGGAUUUACUGCCCUGCAGAGAAACCUCUGUCAGUAUUACACAAGGAGGCCUGUUUUGCAAAUCCUGGACAGCAAUGUUUUUUCUUUCAUACAGUUUUAUUUUAGUCCAGAAUAACUUGACUUUAAGUAAGAAUAUGGUAUUCAUAGAGUCACACACACACAAGCUAAGAGUGGAUCAGAUAAUUUGAAAUACAAUUUUUUUAAAUCAUUUUUUUGCUUUUCAUAAAUAUUAUUUCUCUUGCCUGUUAGAAAUGCAGACAUUUCUCUAUCCCAAGGUAUCUGGGUAUUGACACAGAUUAAGCUAAGCAACAUAAUAUGCCCAGAUAACUUCUUACCUUCUUUGUUUAAUUCCAUUUUACCAUUUGUCUUCAGAAUAAUCAAAAGAAUGUGAAGAAAGUAGGGUAGAAAACAGUACACAAACAGAAUAUAUUAGCCUCAAUACUGAGGUAGUACCUAAAUUAAGGCACAGUUAAUAAAACAGAAAACCUGGAAGAACCACACCCUACUUUGAGACAUAAAUAACCUGUUGCAAGUGUAGAAUUAGUCUUCCCCUCUCACUUUAAUGGUGCCUCAUGACAUUCUACCAUCACUACAAAUACUCGCGCCCAGGGAUUUUCAGGAUUAAACUCCUUGAACACAAAUUUAUUGUAGCUUUGUCCUAUAUAAAGACUAUUGCAUCUCCCUUUUUGCCAUUGGACUCUUGUACUUUGCAUUUUCACAUCUAUGUUUUUGAGCACCCGGUUCAUAUAUGUAAGCCAGCAACUACGGUAUUGACUGAGAUAAUGCAUCCAGUAACAGGUAUGCAUGUUGUACUCAGCUUACAAUAUAUAUAUACAAGGCAGGAAUUACUAUGAUAGCAUAAGUGUUUUAUUUACAUCCUUAAGCAAGUUUUACAGUUACCCUGAACAUUAUAUCAGUAAAAAUUUUACACAGCUGAGAUAUACCAUGAUGGAGAAAAACGCUUAAAAAGUAGAUUUAUGAACUACACGUAUGGUACGUUGCAAUUACAGGUAGCUAUUGUCAGGAAAACCCAAGCUCCCCUAUCAAAAUUAAGCACCUCCGUCUUUAAGAGACACCACAUGGAGUUAGCAGAUUGGUUCCUCCUUCCAUUUCAGAUGAACCUCCAGUACCUACCAUCUGCAUUUUCCCAUCCACUUGAGCACUAGGUUCAAGUUCUGAGGAACCCCUGGGUGGGUGCUACUCAUCAUCCCCUGUGCCUGGGACACCGUACCAUGUUCAAAGCUGGAGGUCUAUAGGGGAAAUGGGAAGUCACCAGCUUUCAGAUUUCCACAUCUUUUUAGUCACCCUCCCCUAUCUGCUUGACAGCGUUCCCCAUUUGACCUUCCCACCUAGCACUGUGUGGCUAUCAUAUCUGCAAAUUUCAGCGAAAGCCCCCUUCAUCUAAGCUAAGGGGUGGAAAAGUCAUGAGAGGGAAAGCUGUUCCCCGUUGUUUACUACUGAGCAAUUACCUUGUGUCAACAAAAAAUUCUUGAUAUUAUUAAGAAUGACAAAUUGCCUCUGCUUGUGUAAGAUACUCAGAACUGCUCAAGUCAGGAGUACAGACGCACAGGCCAUUAGGAAACAGCUGGCUACUGUAACCCUGUGGUCUAGAAAACAUUAUGUCUACUUCUGUACACAUUUAAAUAAAUCUGGCUGAUCCAGGUGAAAUAAAUUACCUUAAAGGUUGAUUUGUUAAUUGGGAACAAAACAUUGCUCUAUGAAACCUUAAUUAAGAAGCAUUUAGCUGUGACUAAUGUUAGUUAUGCACAAUCUUUAGCAUUAUUAAGUAGGGUUCUGUUAAAUCAUUACUGCGUGGCUUUUUCAGUGUCUCUCAGUAAGAUACAUUUGUACAAGGCUAAACUAAAUGAAGUCCUACCUCUCCAGAAAUUUUCAGCAAAAGCCAUUAAGAAAUAUGUAAAUCAAUUCAGUGAGCACUCGAGACAAAAAUCAAUCUCAGUGGAAAAGCAGAAAUAUCAUACUUUACACAGGAUUAUGCAGUAAUUUCAUGGGCUGGUUUCUCUGUCACAGCACUUGCUAGACAGUCCUUAUACACAAGUAGACAGAUGGAUUGUGAAGAAUUAGGAAAUUUGAAGCAUGUCAAAAUAAAGAGACUCAGGGCUUUUUUUUCCCCCUUUUUUAUUCUAUCAGUUCUGUGACAGCACAAAUUAUCAUCCCAGUGCAGCAUGUAAGUGUGCUUGACUUUCAUCACAUUAAAAGUAAAAUCUCCAGAUGUGCUCCUGCGGUGCUAAUUACCAUGAAACAGAACCACAUCCAGAUCCAGAAAAGAGGAAUUUUUCUCAGGAAGGAAUUUUUCAAGAGAAGGAGAGAGAGGACAGUUAAAUUUCAAGCCAAGUUUGCCCAUUCAAACUUCAAAAGUUUUAUAAGCACAUAAGAACCCUUUUAUCACAAAAAAGACAAACCUGAAACUGCAGAUGCAAACUCACUUCUGUGAGUUUGAUUACGCUUCCACAGCAUGGAAAACGCACAUGCGUAUCAGACAAAAUUUAGAAAGCACUAUGUGACAACAAAAUGAGAAAUGGAGCUAUGGCAGUAACAGUUAUAAAUAAAAAUAUGUGCAAACCAAUUUGAAGAUGUUUGAAUUGAGAACAUUAAAAAUGAAAUUUCCAAAGAGAAAUCUCAAGAAAUGUCCUUUAAAACACUCAACACUUUUUCUUGUAAAGUUUUGUGUCAAAAUCCUAGUCUAUGAUAUUUAGUACAUGCUUUUAAGCUUUAUACUGUAUUCAGUGUAUUGUGCUAUGUAAAUUAUUUAACUAUGCUUCACAAGCUAUUUUGUAUAUCAGCAAUCCAUGUGCACCACCAUUCAGCAUUUAAACAAACAAAAAUCCACUAACAGAAAGAUUUGCCUUCUCAAAUAAAUCAAAUGUGGUUUCAAAACUGAUUUUUUGCACCCUCCCCUUACAGGAUCACAACAGCUGCUUGCAUGAUGGAUCUACACAGAUAUCCCCUGGAUGAACAAAACUGCACACUAGAAAUUUAUGGAUACACCACUAAUGAUAUUGAAUUUUACUGGAAUGGAGGAAAGUCUGCAGUAACUGGAGUUAGUAACAUCGAGCUCCCACAAUUUUCUAUAGUUGAUUACAAGACGGUAUCAAAGAGAGUAGAGUUCACAACAGGAAUCACAAAUGUGCUGACCAUGACCACUAUCAGCACCCACCUCAUGGAGACACUGCCAAAGAUUCGCUACGUUGAGGCAAUAGAUAUUUACCUGAUGCUAUACCUUUAGCUAUAGAAGGUCGUAGAGAAUAAACAUUUGCUAUACAGUUCCCUUUCAUAUGCUAAAAGCUCACCACAAGUAGACAGAAAAGAUAGGUGCUGUUUCUUCAGGGAUUCUCGAACAAAGCCUACACCACUGAAUUCUCAGGAAUUCAAGAACUCUACCAGAUUAUAACAGCUUUCACAGAUGUUAGGAUUUUUUCCUCAGACUAAAUUCAAGUAGAUCACGUCUACUCUUCCUUAUAUAUAUAUUUAUUAAAAUAAAUAAAUAAAUAAAUAAAUAAAAAGACAAACUUCAGGAAGUACUUCUACUGCUAUUUUCUCUACAGGAAAAAGUUAAAUUUACCAAUACGUCGCUGAACACCUGCAGAUUUCUGUAAACCUAUUCCAGUUUUGCCCAAAUUUCAGAAAUAAACUUUUCCCUAAUUAUAUUUGACCUAGUCUGACUCAGUGAAAAAUACAUACUGUAGUGAACCAAAAAAAUUCUUUCUUAUCUCUGAUUUUCUGAAUACAUAUUCCAUCUGGAAGGAUCCUAUCCAAGCUACCUUGUAUGCUUCUGCACUGUUGUUGAGGUGAUCGCUUUUGGUCUAAAUAUUUGGGCUCUCUGUUCAGACCAAAGAAUAAGACCAACACAAUACACUCUUACCAGAUAAGCCAUUAGUUUGAUGGAUGAUUGUAAUUUUACAUUUAUGUCAGGAAGUGCAUUUCUAAAAUUCUGAUAUUUUCUUAAUCCUGGAGUUGUGUGUCUACCUGGAUGUCCUGUGUUCUUGCAGUCACAACACUGCAGCUAAGCACCAUGCUGUCAUUCCCAGCAAAAUCAUGAGUCUAUUAAAAGUCCUUACCUUCAUUCACGUCCUGGUCAAGUACACAAGAUGCUCUAUUACAACAGCUACAAAAUUCAGCUCAGGUUUACAGCAGUCUCUGAGGCCACAAAAUAUUAUUCCAUACAGAGCUGAGGAGAUAUGGAUCAUUGUUUCCAUUAUAGACUGUUCUGUGUGGAUACUGUCAAUCUGUUUCUAUAGAAAAUAAGAAAGAAGAAAAACAAGAUCCACAAACUUGAACCAGCCUCUUUCACAGCUCCUGGGCUAACCCAGCCUGGGUGAAACAAAGCACAAGUGUUCACAAUGAAGAGUGAUGUGUUGACUAUGUGGGUCCCAGUGCAUACACCUGAGUUGGGAUAAGAGAGUCACAGCACAGGCAGAAUGCACAUGGUCGGAACCAGAAGGGACACAGUAAGCUUGUCUGAUCCCAGUGAAGACAGUUCCCAGCUGCUGUCCAUCAGCUUCUGAAAUUUUUCAGUGAUAUUACGAUGGUUUGUACCAGGGCAGAGCCUCUUCAGAACUCAAAAGAAAUACAGCUGUGAAGAUUCUGUUUCCAUCUGACAUGCAACCCUCCCAGCUGAAAGAGUUUUACUUCCUUCACUGGAUAGCCAAAACAUCAGAUACGUGAGGAAAAGAGGAAACUGGUCUGGAUAUUAGUACAGAAAAGAUCACUCAGAAACUGAUAUCAUCCUGCUGUUCUGUAUGUAGGGGUUCCCUGCACUACAGAGUGAAUAAGAUGAAAAGAGGCCACUCUAGUUUUACAAUACAUACCAUUUUAUAUUUUAAUACACAGGAAAAAAAAUGUAUUAAACAAGCUUUCUGUUUCUCUGAAUAAAAUGUAAAAACUUCUUCUAUCUCCUUGUCUGUUUGUCAAAGGAAGAUGUCACAGAAGAAAUCAACAUAACUGUGGAUAAAUAGGAUUCAUCUCUGACCAUGUUGGUAAUGUCAUCCUUGGGUCUCUAGUAUAGCCCUUCUCUGCCAUACUACUGCCAGCAUACUCAGCCUAAAGUCCAUGCUAAAUUAGCACAGAUUAAACAUUACAGAUAUUUCAGGAAGUCGCAUUUAUGCACACUUUCAAAAGGCAAAAAUUAUGUGAUUUUUCACGCCCCUGGCAUUUGUAAGGCUCUUUGCUCUGAAUUGCAAAGCUUGCAAUUCAAAGUCUGAAUUGCUUCAUGAUGCAUACAACUCAUCCCACCUAAAAUGAUUUAAAUAAAACCCAUUUAAAAAAAAAAAAUGGGAUAAUUCAUAACACUUAGUUUAGGAACUCAUACAUUGCUUGGCUUGUAAUAAACUGUCAGGGCAUAUUAGUUUGAGAAAAAUCUCUGUGAAUCAAUUUAAAUUGUAAGCACUUAUGUGUUGUCUUUACAAGAGAGAAGCGAUAAUACUGCCUAACGAUGCUUGCACUGCUGUCACCACUGUUACAGCACUAAAGUAAAUUAGCUUACACAUUAGAUUAUGCAAUCAAAGGCAGCUCAUGUAACUAUUCAGUAAAACUGAGGAGAAAACAUCGACCCAUCAAAAACUUCUCAGAAUUAAAAAAGAAAUCUAAUUUUACAUGGCAAUCUGAGACCUUUGCUUUUUCCACAGAAAAUAUCAGAAUUUGAGAGUCAUUUAUAGGUAAAGGAUUCCUCUGGAGAGUAGGAAACCCUAGUUUAGAGCAUCUUCCUGCUUAAAUUAAAAGACUUGGCCUGAAAAGUAGAACCUGGGUUCCACUUUUAUCUACCCAUAUCUCAAAUAAAUACUGCAAACACCACACUGGUCUGGGACCAGCUGGCCUCCCUACCCCAGAAUAUGCAAAGUGGUGGGAACUGUGACAUUCCUGGUGAUUGCUCAUUUCACUGUGUUGUAAAGAAUCAGUUGCUAAGCCUGACUAAGUGAAUGUUAUGUCUGUGGAAACUUUAUUUCUCCUUCUAGAAAGCUUUUUACAGACAUCCCCCUCACUUCAUCGUUUUCAGUGAGCAAGGACUUGCAGUGGCACAGUGUAAAUGUUACAGUCUUAUCCUGCACCAUUUCCUCCCCAGGUGAUGGGGAGGAGCAUCUGGUACUGCCUUCCAGCUGUCCUCCACCUCAGCUCUUGAGGACUGUGUGCUCAACUUGGAGUUUUACUUGAAUGUACUUCAAAAUUGUUGUAGGUUAUGCUAAUUCCUAGCUCUCCUACAUCUUGCUAAAAAGGUAAAGACCAGAGCAUGAACAAAGUGAGGCAUAUCACAGAGGUGCUUCACUGGACUACAUAUUGGCAACAGGUGAUUUAUUUUUUUUUCCUUUGUAUGAAGGUAUUUGCACAGAGUCUUCGUAUUGAUUUUGGUAUAUCUGGGGCAGGUGUAAGGCUGCAGCUUACAAAAGCCAAACAUAACAUGCAAGUCUCAAGGCCAAGUCUUAAAAGUUUCAUGUAAGAGGUCUGUUUUCUGUUGAGUAUUUCCUUUCUAUGAGCUACAGUGGAAGUUUACCUGGAAAUUUGAAAUAUCGUAGAAUUCUUCACAAGGCUUUACUACAAACAUGUAGUAAAGAUCUUCAUCCAAAGAUGAGUGCAAAAGUAAACCCUUUGUAGUAAUGCAAUCACUUAUGUUCGAUCACUUGUACAUGAAAAAAAACAAUGAUAUUGAAACAUCUAUGUGUUUACAUAGACACAGUUUGUGCCAGACACAUACAUGACAGUUGCAGUUUGCAGUUCUUUUCUCAAGCACAUAAAACAAUAUAAUAAACAACAGAAAUAAACAUAUUUGAAAUAACUUCUGGUAACAACAUAAAAAAAUACAACUGCAUAUAAGAUUUCAUUGAGUAAAAUGGAUUAUUAGUCUGUAUGCAGAUGAGCAAAUUAAUGGUAUGCUGUGGGGAGCAGAGAUUUCCAUCUCUACCACAGAUUCAUUCUCCAGAAUUGAUUUUCAUCACAAGCUUUAUACGAUAACUGAUAUAAUGCACAUGUACCUACAUGUUCUUCACAUGAUGAACCCACCAUUACAAAAACUCUUCUUGAAACUACCCCACAGCACCAAAACUGUAUGAAAAUGACAGAGACUGGAGCAUUUUAUUUUCACCAUCUAUCUGUGAGACAGCUUGGGCCGGCUGAGGAACCUAUCUAACUGAUAUUCCUUCCUUGGCACAGGUUGAGCCCCAGGGAAACAUGCUGCUUAGCACACUGAACAUAAGAUAUGAUGUCAGCUGCUCAGAUGUGUUCUUGAGCUGUCGUGAUGCCCAAGGCUCCAUGUACACAUCUGAUGGUGCCGGCCUGCAGCACAGAAGGGCCCCUUCUGGCAGGGCCCUCUAUACCAGGAGCGCGCUGGACACGCACAGGCUUCAUCAGAAAGGGCACUUGCAAAGGAGGGCAUCCCAGAUGAGAGUCAAGAUACCGAACUUGACUGAUGUCAAUUUCAUAGACAAGUGGUCCAGGAUGGUCUUUUCCAUCACAUUUAUUCUUUUCAAUGUUGUUUACUGGCUGUAUCAUGUACACUUAUGUAUGCAAUAAUGUUAAUAUACACUAACAUAUAGAGGCUUGUUUCUUUUCUGUCUCAGUUUUGUUAACUAUGAAGAUCUGCAGUAACCAUAACGUGAUAUUUUCAAGGUAAGGUACCAACCCAAUGAAUACCUCUAGAUCUAAGCUUUCAUAGCAAACACUCAAAUAAAUGAAAAACCAUCCACGUUCAUCACAUUCCAAUCAGAAUACUACUAAAUUGUUUAAUUUCUACAGUUAGUGCCUCACUCACAACCUUCCUGCAUCUGCUGUUGUCUUUUUUUUUUUUUUAAGUGGAAUAAAAUUCAGCCACAUACUGUAAUCCUCUGGCAGCAGAGGUCCAAACAAGAUAGUAAAAUGACUCAAAGUAGUCAUCAUGUCACAGUCUUUAAGUAUUAAAAGCAUAAAGAAAUCAGAAGAAAUAACUUUUUAAAAAUUAUAACUGUUACAUCACACAGCAUUUCAAAAUAAAUAGUUCUACUAAAAAGUGUUUUCAUGAAAGAGAUAUUAUUCAAGGAGAUAUAAGGCAACUCGUAUUUCAGAGAGGCUGGGAUCUUCAAAGGAAAGAAAGGGAAGCAGAGACAAACUCCACUGAGUUUCCAACCAUGGAAUCAGAGGUUUGGACCUAACUGGAAUUUUGUUGUUUCCACAAAGUAGCAAAGUUGAAAUUGGUAAGAACCUGUAUGCCAUCUGUAACUUUGUAUUAGAAUCAGAAAAUGUCUUAAUUCCGGGAAGCAAUUGCUGCAGGAUACUCCAGACCCAAAGCAGACCAUUUUCUUGGCUCUCAGAUUUCCUGUGUCCAGUAAUUGCAACACAUCUUCCCAAGAGCUAGCAGAGAUCUGGGAACAGAUCACACAAGAGUUCUGCACAUAGGGUCCUACAGAUUUCCUGACUCUGAUGAAGAACAGAAGACACAGCCGAGCCUCAAGGCAUACUAGUGGUGCUGGACACAUGGCUCUUCCAACUCUCAGAGCUCAGAUUAGGCCAACACCACUACCCGUUGCCAGACAUAAACCCAGGCAAGGAGCCAAGCCCCAGUAAGCUGCCUUCAGCUGAGGAGUAGUAAAUCAGCCAUCUCCUACCUGCAGCAAACCUUCUAACAGUCUAGAAACAGUCUAGAAUGAUAAAUGCCCAAGAAUGGGAAUAACUUCACUGCAUUUAUUACAAAAAAUGUGAAGCUGCCAACAGGUAUUUGGCAUUGCUAAUCCAGUGGGGUACUUGAGUCUACCAGUUUUGUUGUGGAUUCCAAGGUCUCAAUCUCAUCCCAUGAUCAAUGGAGCACUGAAAUGGUCUCAACCUUUAAGAGAAUAGUUGCUGUGGCAGCUCAGAGAUCACUGCACACCUGCCUGAUUUCAAUAGUGAUUUCUCUGUGUGCUAUAAGUACUGAAACACCAGCAAAGACUCCUCUGAUGGUCUAAUGUACCUUCAGCCUAAGGCCAAAACUGUAACUCUAACUUUGCAUAUAUGUAUCCAUCUGCUGCUAUCAGUAAUAAAGGGACCCAAUGUCAAAUGCAGUCUGCAACUCACUCUUAAGAAACAGUACCUAACUAUAACACUCAAGAUCAUCUAAACCAAAAGGGAAAAGGGAAAAAAAGCUUUCAGGUGCUAACCUGCUCCUGUUAACCUCUCUCCAGCUCAGGAAUGUCAAACGAGUUCAACUGAUUGGACAGAGUCAAUGGCAGAGUAGAAAUAAGGUCCAUGAAAACAGAGGUAGCAAAUGAAAUAUAAUAGAUUCAAAGACAGACAUAUCUGGAAAUAAAUUCAAAGAAAGCAACAUAUUCUGUAUAUUGGUAUUGCAAGAUGUGAAAAAUAGUUUUUGCACUAAUUUCCCAAAGAUAUUCCCAGGAAGGCCACAUCAGUUCCAGUGGUAUAGAGAUAUUACAACCCCUCUUUCCCACUACAGCAAUGUGAGCAUUUGGCUUAUAGGUGAAGCCAACAUCCAAUGGAACACCGAAACAAGAAUUUAAGUGAUAAUAAAGGAUACUUUGCCUUCUGUUACAAGUUCAAAGAUCUGCUCUAGAUCUUCAACAUUUUUUUCUUGUGGGCUCCUAGCAUCUGGAUACACACAGUUUCUAAUGUAUGUGUCAUCCAGUUUGUUCAAUCACAGAUAAUAGCAGUGGGCUACAAUACAUUAAAUGUACAGCAUCAAGCCAAGAAAAGAACUGAGCUGAGGAUGGGUCAUUUACAAAGAGCUGUGACAAUGCAACACUCCUUCAGUGGGGCACAUUCCAAAAUAGCAGGCUCCAACUUACCAUACCAUGAGUCCCCCAACACUCGGCACCAACAGGAACUCCAGGAACCCCAGCCUUGAUAUAGGUUUUGUACAGCAUGCACCCAUCCCUGGCUGUGCUGGGAGCUGAAAGCCACCAUCCAGAGUGAGGAAACAGCCAGGGGCUGUCAGCAGGUUUGGCAGCAGGGGCUAAUGGUUGUUUCACAAAAACAGACAAGAGGCCCUUACUGCAGGUUAGCAACAUCUCAUCCCAGGGCCAGCAUCUUCAGCCUUUCACACAGCUCCUUCCAGCCCAUUUAACCGCUUGACUCUGGUAGGGAAAACAGAAUUUGACACACAAGAUUGAAAGGCACGUUUCAUAUAGACUAAAACCACUUUCUAGCCUCAAAAGAGAAUUAAACCAAAGCCUGGGAAUAGCUAGCAUAUUUUCCAUUUUUUCAGCUGUUUUUUGGCAAAAGGGAAAAAAGAAAAAAAAAAAGCAGAACACACUUCUCACUUUAGAGCAAAAUAGCUUGCCAGUAAGGAAAAAGCAGAGGUUAUGAGAGACAGGGGUUGGAAAAGUGCAGCUAUACAUGGGGAGCCUGUGUCCAUUGCCAUCUGCUGUUGGAAGCUGGUGAGUGCAAAAGAAAAACAGCCUCUUCCCAGCAAAAGGCUGCAGUCAUCUGAGUGGCUUUAAGCAAUAAAGGUGAGUAAUAGACACUUCAGCUCUAUACUCCUUAGGAACAGACUUUCAGCUCAGUGUAGAUUAGGUGCUAUUGCUAAUUAGGUUUCAGCUAAGCUCUCCCUUACAAUAUGUGCAGCUAUUUCAUGCAAUUUUUGAAUGUUAAUAGAUUUAAAUAAACUUGCAUUGGACUCCUUCCUAGCUAGGCUUCCCAAAGAUGAAUCUUCUACUAUCAUUACAUGUGUAUAUGUGUGUACAACUAUCUGAGAGUCUGCUAAUAAUAUUUCACUCCACUGGCAAUUUCAUGCUAAAGGCAACAGAAGAGUAAGGGCGUGUGAGGUAUGACAAUCAUACAAGUUUCAUCAGAGCAGAGGACAAAGUUGUUAAUCCAUGCCUCUUCUCUGGAACAAAGGGAACCCCAGCCUUACUAGUCAUUGGAGAAUACACAUGGGACCACAAUUCAGUACCCAAAUCCAGAGGGAAAUGGGGUUCAUUGGUUCUUAUGUUCUUAAAACUAUUUUUUCACAGUUAUAAUAAUCUUUUAGAUUCAUUCCAGCCUUCUCUUCAGCAGUAUUCCACCUAAAUUAUGAUUGAAACAGCAAGUGCUAAACUGAUAACACGUCUAGAGCUUGCAGCUCUCUGAGAACAGAGCUGAUCCACCUGAUGGUUCACAUCUGUGAAACAUCUUGCUGUCUGUUGUGACCUAUUUAAACACACACGACCUGACGCUAGGUAUACUUCCCCUCACGGUCCACCAUCAAAGAUACCCCUGUUGACAUGCAGCAGCCUCCAGUUAAUAAAUGUUCCAGAUCUCCCAGUACCUUUUAUUACCACAGUGCCUUGUAAAAGCCCACACGAUGACUCUUUGUGAGGUUUGCCUGCUUUUCUACAUCAUGACAGGGGUCUCUUGUUCUUUCUGUAGAGGUCUCAAAGUAGGUACAAAGAACAAACGUAUAGGAAUUCUGCCAAACAUAAGUAAAGUGGAUUGAAAGAAGUAAAAAAAAUUAUAUGCUAACCUGAUGCACUUAAGAAAGCAUUCUCCAACAGCAGAGAAUGAAAAAUCCUUUUUUUUUUUCCUAACACUUCAUUAUUAAUUCACAAUUCCAACUGUUAGUGAAGUUACUGUUCCUUCCAGAUAAAAACACAAUGACAUCAAUGUGCUUAUCAGAAUGAUCUAGGAAAUUUUCCACAGGCUAACAGAGGUAUGCAUCUUCUAAGAACACGGCAUUCUACCAUACACAAUUGCUUUGUUGCACUUCCAUACUGCCAGCUUGCUGGUCUGAUCCAAUGCUGAUUUACUGUAGCGUGUCUGAAAUGACUGAUCAAGAGAAACAUCAUUUUCUGAAAUCACAGGAAGAUUUUCUGUGAAAUGGAGAGAAGUGCAGUGAAUGCCAAUGGAGGGAAAGUAACAUUACUUUUAUAACUCACUUCUAUACUUUUGAAUGAAGAUACACUGCAUUUUCUGAUUCAACUAGUCUGUUUAUGCAACCCGAAUUUCUGUAGGUGCUUUUUGGAUGCUGAAAUUAAAAGUUCAUUCAGUGUGUGUGUGUGUGCAUUCAUUACAUGUAGCAUUUUUGUUAGGGCUUUUAGUUCAAAGAGCCUACUGUACAAAGUCUAGUUUCUGGUCUUAAUUACAUUUAAUAGAGGUCUCUUUAUGAUACCUGUAAAACCACAGGAAAAUGAGAAUAUAGUUAAGAUGGUUGAUUUUCCCUUUUUCCACUUGAAUAUACUCUACAUUUGGAGAUACCACUGUUCCAUAAAACCCUUAAAACUGUGACUCUUACAUGUGACAAUUCAGGAAUGAUUGAGUGAAGACGAAUGAGCUCAGUAAAGAGGAGUUCUACUUUUGUCAUUUGGGAGAGUACAGCUGCAUACUUCACUGCCACAGAAAACUGCAGGACCCAAAACAAACUGCUCCCCAGCAGGUACAAACUGCACUGUAAGAGGUUUUGUCUGGAUGGAAAGACUUUUUACAGUGAGAACACCCCAGGAUGUGGUAGAAUCCCUAUUCACUGGAGGUUUUGAAGAUGAGCUUGGACAUGGUGCUACACAAUUGCAGCCAGGCUCCUUUUUCCCAUGAAAGGCUGGACCUGGUGACCUUUUAAAGUCCCUUCUAAUCUGUGCUGUUCUAUGAGACAAUACGAACAUAUAUCACUGAAACAGCCUUUUCUUGCUUCAGAAGUACCUGCUUCUCUGAGCAGAGAGAACUCUGAGCUUCUCUGAGACAGAACAAAACCAUCUUCUGCUAGAGGGUGCGAAGCACAGAGCAGCAAAUGCUCUUCUUUAAUCUGUUUGGUCCACUUCCUUUCAACCGACAGGAGGCCAUUAUAUGGCUAAAACAUGAAGGCUUGCUUCCCUGUUGAGAUUCAAGGUCAGCAUGCAUGUUUCUUCAAAUGUUAACCUAUGACAGCAAUACUUCAUGUCCUAGUUUUUAACUGCUCUCUUUAGCUAUUCACAGAUUAUUGAAGUUUGCUCACUAUCAAAAACAUUUGUAUGAUUACAUGAAUAAUACUCUUUCAGUAAAAUCCAAUAUUUACAUACAAAACAGCUCAUUGUACAUUAAUUACUGUCAAAACAUAACAGAAAUUGUUUCAUCUUUUUAAAAACAACAACCAAAAAACAAUUCUGCAGCCUUUUCUGUUCAGUGCUGCAGUAAAGGGCAGGACAAACAAAAGAUGAUACUAAAGAUGAGAUACCACAGCAUGCCUCUAGUGUAAUUACAAAUCCAUUUGACAUAACUUGCUACUAAACUUAAAAUGCAGCUUUGUACACUCUUACAACUCUGUAUUACUAAGACAAAGUCUGAAAGGGCAUUUAGUUGUAUCUGCAUUUUAAAAAUUGCUUUCUAUCAGCCAGAUAUGUAGCAGAUUUUUCAACAGUAACAGAACUUGUAUUUUCUGGCCUUUUAUUGUUCAGAAAACAUCAAACUAUUCCGAAUAAUUUAUUUUUGAGCAACUGGUAUCCAAAAACUCAGUAACCAACUGGUUGAGCAGGAAGGC